GUUAGCUGUCGUGCUAGCAGUAGAAGCCAUCAGGUAAGUGUUAUUUAAAUAAAGUCCUGGUAUACUUACAAACGUUCCAAUGCCUCAUUUUAUGAGUACAGAACUACUGUACUACUGUAGAAGUUUGGUACCAUUCUGGGUAUUAUUAGUGGGGUAAUUUACGAGAUACACCUUUGGAUCCAUUAGCGCCUGUGCUAAGCCAUUCGGCUGA
Long non-coding RNA from Sander lucioperca (pikeperch), 211 nucleotides. RefSeq lists it as uncharacterized. Lineage: Eukaryota; Metazoa; Chordata; Actinopteri; Perciformes; Percidae. The record is from RefSeq and is a predicted model, not a curated record. The transcript is spliced from 3 exons.